UUGCAAUAAUGUGAAUUUCUCAAUGAAACCUUCAAGUGGAAAUACAUGAGCUUUUUAACCCUGAGCAAU
This 69-nucleotide small nucleolar RNA is filed under the name Capra hircus (goat). Lineage: Eukaryota; Metazoa; Chordata; Mammalia; Artiodactyla; Bovidae. The record is from RNAcentral.